ACAAGCAGUUAACAAAAAUUAGACAUUUUUUAUAAAAAUAAAGUAUUUAUACUUUUUUUAUAAUAUAGUUAUUUUCAACCUUUUUUUUUUUUUUUUUUUUUCUUUUUUUUAGAUUUGUUUUACCAGUUAAAAUUGACAUACUUGCUUUUACAUGGAUAUGCAGCAUUUAACCUAAUAUUAAUGUUCCUAUUAUUAUAUACAAACUAUGUAGAAAAGCUUAAAAAAUAUAUAGAGAAAUGUUUUGUUAUAUACAUGAACGUAGUAAGUAACGAACAAAAAAAAAAAUAAAAUAUAAUAAAACAUAUGUGUCUUUUACUUAGUUAAAUAUAUAAUACGAUUAUUAUUCAUCAGUUUAUCCGUUUACCCUUAUAUCCGCUUAUCUAUUUUAUUUUUCCAUGUUUUUUUGUAGGUAUUAAUUUUAUGGGUUUCAUGGUUGUUCAUAUUAUUUAUUGAGGUUAAAUAUCAUUUACCAAAUGACACGACAAAAAAGCAAUUUUUAUUUGCAAUAUACACGCCUUAUACAAUAAAAAUUUUUUUCUCUUUGUAUGCAUACCUUCCGCUUUUUUUUUUAAUAACCGUUGUACCGUGCAGGUGGAUCGAAAAAAAAAAAAAAUAGAAUAAAAUAAUACUUAAUACAUUGUACUAUACUGUAUUGUGUUGCAUCAUAAUACAUUAUUUUCGCGAAAAAGUAAAAAAAUUAAUUUUAAAUUCUAAUUCUUUUUCAAAUAUAAAAAAAUUUAGACAUGUAAGGUUGUACAUAUAUACACACAUAUAUAUAUAUAUAUAUAUAUAUAUAUGUAUUUUUAUUUUUUUAAUAGAUUAUGUUACACCUUUUAUUAUGACAUAACGCUGCUUAUAAUAAAAGUUGCAAUUUAUACCUAUUACUUCAUCGUAACAGUGAAAAAAUAUUUCCUAAUAGACAAAAUUUUUAUGAUGAUAUCAGUUGUUAUAGGAAGUUUUUUUAUUUUUAUUUUAAGGCAUAUUUUUGAAUACCAAAGACGAUUAACAUUUCAUAAUUCUAAUAAACAUAAUAAUCAGAUUAUGGAUUUAAAAAUCAACUUAAAAGAAAAAGAGAAGUUAGCUGUAACAAAUAUUGAAACAAUUCAUGAUUUAAUCAACGACUCUUUAAAAAAUUUUUAUAAUAACGAAACAGAAUCAGCCAAUGACAACCAGCGUGUGCUUAAUAAUUUAGAAAAAGUUUUAAGCAUUUUAAAAGAAGAUAAUUUAUUUUCGCCGGAGUUGAAAACGACAACACAAAAGAAUUAUAACAAUAUAUAUGAUUAUAUAAUGAGUAUAAAACAAAGUAAAUAUUUUUCAAGUAUUACUGAUACAUCGAAUAAGGAUUUAGCAUCACAUGAAUCUAAAUAUAUUAAAGCAGAAGAGACCAACGAAUUCAAAGAUGAAUCACAGACAGAGUCUAUUACUGAAUCAUUGUCAGAAUUAAAACCUCCGAGUAAAACUGAUUUACCAUCUAUUGACGAUUUGAAUGAAAAACAAUUGAAAAAUUCAAAAUAUACAAUUAAUAUAAACAUGGACACUGAAAAUAUAGACGUCAAUCAAUGGGACGUAAAAUUUUUAAAUAGACCCCAACUAAAUUAUGAUAUAUUCAUUCAAAUUGGCAAAAAAUUGUUAAGUACUUGUUACACUGAUAAUCAACAGAUCUCAGAUGAUACAUUAUUCUCACUACUUCAUGAAAUGAAAAAUGGAUAUAACAAUGUUCCAUAUCACAACUGUAUCCAUGCGGCAAUGGUAAAAGACAUACAUACAUAUACAUAUAUACAUACAUAUAUAUAUAUAUAUAUAUAUAUAUAUAUAUAUAUAUAUAUAUACACACAAAUUGGCUCUUUUACACAUAGGUAACCCAACACUGUAACAUUUUAGUAAAUAACUUAGAAACAUCAAACAUAUUAAAAGAUAACGAGCUUGCGGCAUUUUUUAUCUCAACUUUAGGUCAUGAUAUAGGCCACUUUGGAAGAACGAACUUUUUUCUUAAAAACAAUUCGAACUUUUUAAAUAUGAUUUAUAAUGAUAAAUCAAUUUUAGAAAAUUAUCAUUGUUCUUAUCUAUUUAGUAUAUUAAAUAAGGAUAAAAAUAAUAUAUUCAAAAAUGAGACUUCUAAAAGUUUAUUAAAUUUAAGGAAUCAGAUAAUAGAAGUAAUUUUAGCGACAGAUAUGAGUAAACACAUAAAAAUAUUAGCACAAUUUCGUAUAAAAUCCAUUAAGAUAAAAUCAUAUGUUGAAAAAAACAUUUUGUUAUGUUUAAAAAUGGUUAUAAAAGCAGCUGAUUUGGCACAUAACUGUGUUGAUUGGGAUGAGCAUUACUUAUGGGUAAAACGAUUAAUAAAUGAAUUUUAUUGUGAAGGAGAUGAACA
Long non-coding RNA from Piliocolobus tephrosceles (Ugandan red Colobus), 2371 nucleotides. NCBI's taxonomy places the organism in Eukaryota, Metazoa, Chordata, Mammalia, Primates, Cercopithecidae. The record is from Ensembl.